RNAcentral lists this transfer RNA (78 nucleotides) under Pseudomonas phage ZY21. RNAcentral's name for it is "tRNA-Arg". Lineage: Duplodnaviria; Heunggongvirae; Uroviricota; Caudoviricetes. The record is from RNAcentral. RNAcentral also lists the same sequence under 1 other name.
CGGGGAGUACGAGAAUUGGGAUAUCGGCUGAGCAGCGCGCUCAGUGUCGUGGUGGUUCGAGUCCACCUUCCCCGACCA